UCGGCCUCUUCUCUCAAUGAACACCUGC
Molecule: non-coding RNA, 28 nt
Filed under: Mus musculus (house mouse)
Lineage: Eukaryota; Metazoa; Chordata; Mammalia; Rodentia; Muridae
Source: RNAcentral